GGAUGCCAGUGAGCGCCCCUCACCAGCACCGGGCUUUGCGGCGCUGGGACUGCGGCGGCCUGACCGCCCUCGGCAAGGCUUGUGUCCGCCUGGAGGAGGCGGCCCGGGAGGGGGCUCCGCGAGGGCUACGGCGGCUCCCAGUCCUGCUGAAGCGUCCUGCCGCCCGCACCUGCCCGGGGAGGUGAGAAUGACUCAUGCAGCGGCCUCGGCCGGGCCUUACCUCUCCUACUGAGGUCAGCUGCCUACGCAGGCCCCCCGGCCCACGGCCGUCAGGACCCCCUCGCAGAGGCCCCACGGCAGAGGGUCCAAAUCAGCCUUUACAACGUGCUUGGCUGGCCCAACUCUUCUGUGCCCUGUUUUCUGAGAUUAUUGGUCUUCUAUCCCCAGGAGCAAAGCUGUACCCUGAUGUGGCCCACUUUUUGCUGCAGCAGCCUUACCCUUCAGGCCAUCCAGUUAGCAGUUCUGAGAGCUGUAAUGUGAACUUAAACACCAAACUAGAUUCUUUGAAGAAAGUGGGGGAGGGGGGACAAAAAAAGUUAGAAGUUAUGAAGCCCUCAGCAGCUCAUUAUGAAGCAGUAAUUGAAGAAAUGCAAACGAUAUGCUGAGGCUCUUUUUACUUAAAUUGGUUUUUUAGUAUUUUAUUUAUAUUUUAAUAGACCCCAUGUUUCCAGAUGAAUUCAAUUUUUGUAUCACAAAUACAGUUCACUUCAUCGUGUAGGGGAUACAAGGAGGAACUCAUUCUGUCCUUACCAUUGUGAAACUUACCAGUAGGGAAUAAAUACAGUACAAGAUGCAUCAUUCCUGGCUAAUUUCACAUCUCACACCUGAGAAAAAGAAAAAAAGUUUCCUUUUAAAUGUCAUGUUCAUGGAUUGGAAGACAACACUAUCAAGAUGACAGUACUCCCUGGAUUGAUCUAGAGAUUCAACACAGUACCUACCAGAAUCCCAGAUGACUUCGUUAUAAAAAUUGACAAGUUGAUUCUGAAAUACACAUGGAUGGGAGUGGGUGUUGGGUAACUCAGUGGUAGAGUGCCUGCUUAGCAUGCACAAGGUCCUGGGGUCAAUCCCCAGUAUCUCCAUGAAAAACUAAGUAAAUAAACCAAAUUACCUCUGCCCCCCCAAAAAAAUAAAAAUAAAAAAAUAAUAAAAUGCACAUGGAAUUGCAAGGGACCUUGAAUAGCCAGAAUAAUGCUAAAAAGAAUUAAGUAGGAGGACUCACAUUUCCCAAUUUCAAAACUUACUACAAAGCAACAGUAAUUAAGACAGUGUGUUGCAGGCACAAAGAGAGACAUAUACAUCAAUGAAACAGAAUUAAGAGUCUAGGAAUAAACCCCCAAAUCUAUGGCCAACUGAUUUUUGACAAAAGUACCAAGACCAUUCAGCGGGGAAGAAUAAUCUCUUCAACAAAUGGCACUGGGACAACUGAGUAUCUACACGCAAAAGAAUGAAGUUGAACCCUUACCUUACACCGUCUACAAAAAUUAACUCGGAGCUAAAACUGUAAAACUCAUUUAUAAGAAUAUAUAGGGGGAAAUCAUAAUGCCAUUUACUUGGCAAUGAUUUAUUAGAUAUGACACUGGAGGGACAGACAAUAAAAAAAUAAAUUGGACUUCACCAAAAUUAAAAAUUUGUGCAUCAAAGGACACUAUCAGGAUUGUGAAAAUGCAACAUGUGAAAUAGAAAAAUAUUUAUAAAUCAUAUAUCUGAUAAAAGGGCUUCCAUCUAGAAUAUAUAAAGAACUCUUACAAUGUAAUCACAAAAAGACAAACCAGAUCCUAAAAUGGGCAAAGUAUCUGAAUAGAUGUUUCUUCAAAGAUACAGAUAGCCAAUAAGUACAUGAAAAGAUGCUCAGCAUCAUUAGUCAUCAGAGAAAUGCAGAUCAAAACCACAGUGAGAUACCACUUCAUACCCACUAGAAUUGUUCAAAUCAAAGUCAGAUAACAACAGGUGUCAGCAAAGAUUUUAAGAUAUGGGACUCUCAUAACGCUACUGGUAAUAAUGUAGAAUGUGGUACAACCACUUUAGAAAACAGUCUGGCAGUUCCUCAGAUGAUUAAACAUAAAGUUACCAUAUGACCCAGCAAUUCUGCUCUUAGGUACAUUUCAAGAGAAAUGAAAACAUGUCCACAUAGAA
Vicugna pacos (alpaca) is the source of this 2133-nucleotide non-coding RNA. The record is from RefSeq and is a predicted model, not a curated record. Lineage: Eukaryota; Metazoa; Chordata; Mammalia; Artiodactyla; Camelidae.